CCGCCCUCCCAGUGGCGCGUGCCCGCGGAGGUGGGUGUCCGCAGAGCCUAACUAAUCGCGACGCCUGGACGGGGUUUCUGAUCAUCCGGAUCCACACCAGAGACUUUUCUGGUGGAGGGGCCCCUCAUUUGGCUCAGAAGAGAUGGAAGUUAUGGAAACUUCAGGCUACAGGAAGAGGCAGAGGGCCAAAAUGUCCUGGACGUGAAAUACUCAGGGAGGGCCCUGGUCGCUCCCUGGCUCAGGUGACUUGCAUGCUCCAGCCAGCAAGUGGAGAUAAUAACAUGUCCCUAAUCUGAAAACACUGGGUCACCUAGUGAUACAACUUAGUCAAACAGAUGGUGUCACAGAUCUCACAGAGAGAUGGCCUAGCAACAUUUCUCUCCAAUAUUCUAUUUUGUGCAACAGUGGAUGAAUUCACAAGUUGGGGUUUAAAUUUUGUGGCCUUGUAAAUUUCGUAUUUAUGGAUGGAGUGUGUGUUCCUUGGCUCCUUCGCAUCUUCCUUUUGGAGUAAGAAUGCCUUGUCUGCUUUUAGAAGCAACAGAAUUGCUACAUUUUAGAAUCUUGAAAAUAUUAUAUUUAAUGAUGUAAUUCAGUUUUUGGACACACGUGUUCUCCUUGGCCUUUCAUUAGUUGGGGUCACUGUAAGCCAUUUUCCAAGAGCUCGGAGAAAAUAUAAUUAUAAUAUUAUUUUAAUAGCCUAGGAAACAAUAAAUAGGUUUCCACUGAAACAGAAACUUUAGCUGUGAGGUUUUAAUAAUAGUAUUUAGUGCUUCCACACUGCUUUCUGUCUUCAAAGCACAAUCUGCACUUUAAUUAACUAGAACAACUGACUGAAACUGUUACUGCAAAUAAAUGUUACUUGAAACCUAUGCUGCAUAGAAGAGAUGAAAGCAGGUAUUGUAUAAAACAUUUUCUCCUCCUAGUUAGCCCCUGUAAGAAGGUUCUCUUACUUAAGACCAUAAAAAUUCUUUAAAAUCUAAUAGAGUGAUCAUCUAGAGCAUUUUUUUCUUGUCCUCUUCACCAGUUAGUAAUUUCAGCCACAAAUUAACCCUGAACUUACAUUCAAAAGUAAAGGUGAUGUUAAACUUCAUUUCAGGGCUGGGGAUAUAGCUCAGUGGCAAAAGCGCCUGCCUGGCAAGCGCAAGGUCAUGAGUUCGAUCCCUGGUACCGCAAAAGAAAAAAAAAAAAAACCCUUCAUUUCAGAAGACCUAAGUCAACCACCAACGAAUCAAGUACAUGGCCAAGUAAAAUUUCCCUAUUUACUAUUCAUCAAUUAAUUUAAAAAUGUGUCUUUCAUUUAGAAUAUGCCCUCCCUCUAGUGCAAACUGAAUGUGGAGAUGCACUGCCCAGUGUAUUUGGACCUAAUUGCUAAAGCCAGGGGCUUUGCAUUGCUCUUGAUACAUCUACUUAAAACCGUCCCACACAACUUGAGGUGGACCGGGACAUUUUGCAGCUUUCAGAGAUUGCUUCUGACUCUUAUGGGCAGGCACCACCUACGAGAAAUAAUUUGUGGUCUUCACAGUUGCCAAAUUCCCAAGGCCCUUGGUGCCUCUCUCACCAUCUCCCUGUAAGCCCCAGAGUAGGCGGAAGGUGACUUUAAACAAAAGCACCAUUGACGCUACGUGUGGAAAAGCGAACGAGGAGACCGUGUGGAUUACUGCUGUCCUCUUACAGCCUCAGCUAAAAGACACGAUGUGCACGUUGCCUUUGGUUGAAGAUUCUACAGAGACAAACAACUUGGAUAAGAAGUAGGAGAGAAACAGACCCAAGAGCAAACCAAAAGGGAGGCCCUUUUGCAGAACACGGCGUCAGCACAAAUGAUUAACUCUAAAACUAAAGGUAAAGUCCACGACCAACACUGAGUCAGCCCCUUUCUCUUAUGGACACAUCCAUAACAACAGCCCCCUGGCCCCACUUAAUGGAUAUCUUAAUUGAGCAAAAGAAUAUUAAAGAGCUCCACACUCCACAGCAGGAAAAUUAAUCUUCCUAAACUAAAAUAUCCUCCACUUCCCCUGGGAAGAAAAUUUCAUGAGGACUAAGGUAAUGGGAAAACCUGUUGCUUAGAACUUUUAAGUUGGCCUUGAAGAUGGAAACUCAUCCAGAAUGGGGGAUAAUGCGGGGAGACUGAUUAAAAAUAGGCCUGAACCCGCUGACCUUUGUUUUCAUCUACAAGAUUCCUUAAUUCGAUGGCACUUUGAUCUUACUAAACAAAACAUCCAUCGGUGCAACUGGAGAUGUGAUGCUGAAAUUGUAAAGACAUUUUCUUAGGGUUACAGUGACCGAAGGCUAAGAAGUAAAGACUCUGGAAAACUAGCCCUUCACCUAUAGAAGACAUGAAUGCCUUGUUGGAAGUAGGAAUGGGGUAAAGCUUACUCUGGCUUCUUUGGUUUAACCCAAGGUGAGAAAUCAGCAGUCAUCUAGGCAGGCAGUGGAUUUUCUGAGAACUUGGAAACAGGGUAGAUUGGCAGAUGGUUGUAGACUAAACCUUGGGAGUUCUGGUGUGAUAUCAGCAUGCUUCUACAAAGGCAACUCAGAAAUGUCAAAGACCAGCCUGAGUGAACUGCCCUGGUUAGGAGAGGGAAGCAAGAAGGCUAAGCAAGAGCUGGCUAAGUCAAGAUGGCCCUACACAAAGCUCUGUUUGGUCCAUUUCACUGACAGCAAAGGUCCUGGAUCCUAACCCGUCACAAUGGUGCCAGCUGGCUGAACCAUACAAAGGAAGUCAAUAUAAAACUUAGGCAGGGCCAAGAGACAUCUGAUUUCAUAGUUAAAUGGAUUUUCCAUUCACUCACAACCAUUGAAGGUACCCCAAAGUCUAAAAAGCUACAUGUCCCAAAUUGAUGUUAAUUAACCCACACUACUGAGAAGUGCCCAGAACGGGGUAAUUCAAAGUCAUCCUCAGCUUGAGAAGUGAAGUUCUUAAGUAGUAUUUUUGUGUGUAUGUAUCAUUACUUCAGAUUCACCGUUUCAUGAGCUCCCAUGAGUUAACUGAAAGAACAUGAAAAUCCAAAUGUUGACUAGUGUGCCUCCCCUAAAAAACAAUAUUUUAAUUGUAAGUAUAAAAUGCCUUUAUAUUUCAUUUAUUUUGUUUUCCUCAAGUUGACAAAGUUAUGUACCUACUAGAUUUACUGGGGACCAGAGAAGCAAAAAAAAAAAAAGGGGGAAACUUUCAAAACAAGAAAGAAAAUGAAAAAAGACAGUUGCUAAAUAAUAGACCUCUAUAGCAAGCAUUUAGUUUCUCAAAUGGAUGGCAAAGAAAGAGAUUUUGAGAGAAGAAAAAGGAUGCUUAAGUUUUUGAAAUGUGUAAAGCAAAAUAGCAGAUCUGCAAAGGAAGAGGGGGAAAAGCCACUGGCAACCUGAAAACCCCAGGGAAACAAACAAAAAGAAUCACUGUAGUUUAUAGUAAUUGAAUCCUUGCUAGUAUCUGAUGAUUCUGUGAAGUGCCAGCUGUCACUCUUUUCCUUUCAGAAACAUGACAUUCAUUUGUCUAGCAAAGACCCAUUAUUAUAGUUCUGAGGUCUGCUUAAUGGGGCUACUAAUAAAUCUAAGUCAUCAAUUCUUGACCUUCUUCUCCCGCUCUAAAAUUCUCAGUGGUAAAGGGGUAAAAACACAUUUUCAAGGUUCUGUGACGGUAACAUAGAAAUAAAAGAUCAAGGCUAGGCUCCAGUGGUCUGAUCACACCUGGGCUCUAUCCUGCUUAUACCCCAAGUGAAAACAAGUAAGACAGACCAAGAACAGCAUCUGGGGGAGAUACCAAUAUUUUUCUUUGGCCUGAGCCAUUCGCAAAUAGAAAUCAAGUGCCGAGACAGAAGCACAAAGGGAGAGAUGUACCAGGGAGCCAUUACCUUCCACCUCUCUGCAGCCCCUUCCUUCCCACCUCCUUGGCUUUCUACUUUACUGAGAGAUCAAGAGGGAAAAAAAGGCCAGUCAAGGGGGAUCUAAAUUGUCUAUGCAGAUGUGAAGGAAGGAUAGAAUUGAUUAUCCAGUCUCAGUCUUGGCGACUUUGAGAUAAGGAUAGGGUGGGGGUCAGCUUUUUCAAGAAACAAAACCAUGGGUAUUUUUCUCUUUCUAUGAAAGCAACACUUAUGCUUCUUUUUUCACUAGCUGGAUUGAGCUGGCUGUGACCUAAGACAAAAUGAGGGUGGGUGGCUUCAGCUUUCUCUAAAUUCUAAGAUGGCUGCAGGCACUAGACAAAUCUUGACUCUGAUAAUGUUGCUGAGAGUUUAGCUCUAAAGAUUCUCUCCCCACUGCUUGCCUCCUAUGCCUUCCCGGAGGGACCAGCCUGCUCCUUCAUCCCCAUCGCCCCCCUGCAGCAGACUUUACAUGGCUACUGCAGAGAAGGCGGAAGACUCGUGCACAGGCUGGUUUGGAGGUCUGCUUUCUCUGAUUCCCAUAGCACUGAGAGACUGCAUUGGGGCGACGGCAGGGCAGCUGCAUGGAUGAGCUGAUCUGUUCAAAUAUUCAGGCAAAUUAGUUAUUUGAACACAAAACAUCCAGAUGCUUUUUCCCCACUGAACUUUCUCCAAAUUGAUUGGAGCUUUGGUGCCAAGAAGACAAAAAACUCAACUCAGAAAGGUCACCAGAAUAGGAAAGGUGUGGAUGAUGAAAAGCUACAGGACUAGUAUGAAGCACUACAUAUUUCUAGCAAUGAAAAUCUGAGUUUCUAAAUUGUGCUAAAUGGCUCAAAAUUUAUCAGAGCAAAGCUACAGAUGAAAGGAUGGAUCUUUUUAAAGAUUAUAUUGUCCCUGUUUAUUUGGCUUUGCUGCUACCAGAAAGUGGCUGGGAACACUCUCUUCAGGGCUCUAUAAAAUGUAAAUGGUCUAAAUUAAGAAGCCAUCUAAUCUCAACCAAUAUUAAUUCUGAUAUGAAAAAUGAGACCAAUUCUUCAGAUGCGAUUACGAUCUUUACAGCCUAACAUUAACAGAUGACCUCGCUUUGUUUCUCAAACACCUGCAUAUUUUCCUUUUCCAAAAUGCCUAUUUAUUUUUAAGAGGGAGCAAAUAUCCUAAUACUUUACUUCUUCUAACAUUGAAAGUAUACCUCCUCCUGAUGUGGGCUUCCCGUCCCUCAGGCUGGGUGCACCCCUAUAUGUGAUUUAUCUGGAUAUGUUUCCCUCCAAACUAUAGUCAUUCUAAAAUAAAAUCUCUAAGCAGCGUCAGGAUGGCAAGAGAGGAUGCUAUCCUAGGGUCUCUCUCUUUUUAGACUGAAAUGCUGACUCCUAAUAUUGCCUUGCAAAUGGGAAAAAAGAAAAAAUAAACAGGUUCUAACAUAUUUUUUUUAAGUCUUUCCCCAUAAACAGAUCCAGUAAAAGCAGACAGCUCCUCCAUCUCUACGGUAGGCGAAGUCACUGAGACAGGGCAGGGAACAGGUCCCCCCUCGGACUUGGCAUAGAUGGGGAGACCACGCUGCCCUGGGUUAGGGAGCCCCCGGUGCACCCCCGCCUCACUAUUUCAAGACCACUUCUCCUCCGGUAAGAUUCUGCAGCUGCUUCACUCUGCUUGUUAAUCUUCUUACUAAGUGUAGAAAAUAAAGUGGUUUUACUCCUAAAUGUCCAUAAUUCACCUACCACAAAGCCCCAAGUCCCUGCUGUUUCAUUAUCAGUUGCCCGCUAAUAAUAAUCAAAAUUAGAAGUGUCUCCAGCAGGGUGACAAUUGAGUGAGGAGAAGAAGGAACCCCGGAAAAACCACAGAUCGCCCGGGGCAGUUGCUGCCUAGUGUGCCUGCUUGGGGAGGGGGGUGUGAAGCUGCCAAUCAGAGUUUAAUUCAAGGCCAGGGGCUCUCCAGGCGCCCACCGCACUUCUAACAUGGACACCGAGCCCGCAGCACCGCUUGUACAAAGGCAGCGAGCGUGCGGGCUCGAGCCAUCUCUCCGGCUCUGUGCGAUUCUGCGCUGGAGGCUCGCAAAGCAGCGGCACUUCACGUUGCCUGUCAGGAAAAAGCCCCCGAGCUGAGAGCUGAAGAGGGAGGGGAGAGCAUGGGCCAAGUCAUCCCCCUUCUGUAGCUGUUUUCCUUCUGUUCCCUUUAUCCCCCUAGGGUCCUCAUAGCUAACCUGGAUGCACUUGGGUACUCCUUUCCUUAGAUUCCCGUUUCCAGAAGCGAAGGCUUUUUUCAGCUCUGAGAGAGGGGCUACGAUUUGUUUCUUCCUGGACACUAUCAGCUCAGCAUCCCUGGGCUCCCUUUCAGGGUUAGAGGAGCCCAGUGGGUGCUUAAAUCAGAGAUUUGGGCAGGAUUAUUACAAGAGCAGAGAUGGAAAGGAGAGGGGGCUUUACUUUUGCUUGAGCCGAAUGUGGCCUCUCGGCAUCUGGCUCUGCAGCUCUUUCCCCAGCCCUGAAACAUGGCUUCUGCCUGCCGAAGUAUUCGUCCCAGGCCUCUGGCUCUGUCCCUAUCUCCAGUCCCCAUGCCCCGGAAUGUCCACGGGGACUCACAUCUGACCUAGCACCUGAUGCUGAAGAAAAACAUGAUCUUCCAACAAUGGGGGUGUGUGGCCACUUGAGAGCCCUCCAGCCGGUGGAGCGGCUUGACCUCCCCACGGGGUAAAAUCACAUCUUGCCCCACAGAGGGAAAGGAAGAAGCCUGCAUCUAGCAGGGUGUGCAUCUUUGCCUGCAGGCUUUUGCUUUCACAAUUCCCUCUGGCUGAACGUAGCAAGGUGGCCUGAAGACCUGGCUGGCUGUGCACACUGCAGAGGGGCUGGGCUCCCCCUCCAAGUGCAUCCAUCACUCACAGUGACAGCUGCCUUGCACUCUGCACCCCAGCAGCCCACAUCCCUUUCAGAGGCCCCCUCCCUUCCCCCACCACAAGCCUCCUCUGUAAAAACCAAAAAAAAAACACCUUGUUCUUUCAUCAUAAUUAAAGAGCUGUCAGGGAAAUGGCAUCGCUGAUUUUUUGCUGCUGUUGAAAUGACCCUCCUCUCCAUCCCGCUUCUCAUUUGCUAAAGUGGUCCUUUCUCUACCUAAAAUCUGGCCCUUUGGUGAUGGAAAUUUUAGCUAGAAACAGAGCGUUCUAAGCAGAGUCCUAAGCUUGGGAGGGUGGGGAGAGAAAUCGAUGCUUUGAGCCGGCCUCUGUCUGCAGCAAGGUGCCGGCAAGGCUGGUCUCAUCGGCGGUGGGAACAGUGGCGGCAGCUACCUCUGGGCUUUAGGUCCACGCAGGGCCACCCAGUUGUAAAUCCUUGUCAGGGGACACAAUUUAGCAAAACUUAGAGGCUGAUUCUCCCUGUUGUCUUAGCUAAGGGACAGGAGGAAGCUAUUUACAAGGAAGUGGAGAGGUCUGAUCAGGGGAAGAUAAAAUCCAAAUGCCUUUCAUGCUCCGAGGGAAAACUGCGUGUUGAGUAUCAUCGCCAGCCUGCAUGCUUGUGUCUUUGAAAUAAAGCUAUAAUGUACAC
This is a long non-coding RNA of Chinchilla lanigera (long-tailed chinchilla), 7375 nucleotides long. RefSeq lists it as uncharacterized. The transcript is spliced from 3 exons. NCBI's taxonomy places the organism in Eukaryota, Metazoa, Chordata, Mammalia, Rodentia, Chinchillidae. The record is from RefSeq and is a predicted model, not a curated record.